Molecule: ribosomal RNA, 497 nt
Filed under: uncultured bacterium
Lineage: Bacteria
Description: partial 16S ribosomal RNA
Rfam family: Bacterial small subunit ribosomal RNA
Source: RNAcentral
GAUGAACGCUGGCGGCGUGCCUAACACAUGCAAGUCGAACGAACAGACCAUGAUCUUGCUCCUCUGACGUUAGCGGCGGACGGGUGAGUAACACGUGGAUCAUCUCCCUAUCUGACUGGUAUAACUUCGGGAAACCGGAGCUAAUCCCAGAUAAUAUCUUGCACCGCAUGGUUCAAUAGUGAGAGUCGGUUUUUCUGUCACUUAUAGAUGCAUCCCCGCCGCAUUAGCUAGUUGGUGCGGUAACGGCUUACCACGGCGACGAUGCGUGGCCGACCUGAGAGAGGGAUCGCCCACACGGGAAGUGAGACACGGUCCAGACUCCUAAGGGAGGCACCAGAAGGCAAUCGUCCGCAAUGGGCGAAAGUCUGACGGAGCAAGGCCGCGUGAGAGAUGAAGGUCUUCGGAUCGUAAAACUGUGUUAUUAGGGAAGAACCAAUGUGUAAGUAAAUAUGCACGUAUUGACGGUACCUAAUCAGAAAGCCACGGCUAACUACGUG